This 492-nucleotide ribosomal RNA is filed under the name uncultured bacterium. Its description in RNAcentral is "partial 16S ribosomal RNA". It matches the Rfam family "Bacterial small subunit ribosomal RNA", at positions 29 to 507 of the family's 1533-position model. The record is from RNAcentral.
AGUGAACGCUGGCGGUAGGCCUAACACAUGCAAGUCGAACGGCAGCACAGUAAGAGCUUGCUCUUACGGGUGGCGAGUGGCGGACGGGUGAGGAAUACAUCGGAAUCUACUUUUUCGUGGGGGAUAACGUAGGGAAACUUACGCUAAUACCGCAUACGACCUACGGGUGAAAGCAGGGGAUCUUCGGACCUUGCGCGAUUGAAUGAGCCGAUGUCGGAUUAGCUAGUUGGCGGGGUAAAGGCCCACCAAGGCGACGAUCCGUAGCUGGUCUGAGAGGAUGAUCAGCCACACUGGAACUGAGACACGGUCCAGACUCCUACGGGAGGCAGCAGUGGGGAAUAUUGGACAAUGGGCGCAAGCCUGAUCCAGCCAAACCGCGUGGGUGAAGAAGGCCUUCGGGUUGUAAAGCCCUUUUGUUGGGAAAGAAAAGCAGCAGGCUAAUACCCCGCUGUUCUGACGGUACCCAAAGAAUAAGCACCGGCUAACUUCGUG